Scylla paramamosain (green mud crab) is the source of this 1241-nucleotide long non-coding RNA. RefSeq lists it as uncharacterized. The record is from RefSeq and is a predicted model, not a curated record. Lineage: Eukaryota; Metazoa; Arthropoda; Malacostraca; Decapoda; Portunidae. The transcript has 4 exons.
GACUCUACCUUUCUCCCUUCCACCUCUUCUUUAUCAACACCAAGGGGGGUCUCUCACUCUCGCUCAACACCUCCUGGCGCUCACUGCUCCCGUCUGGUGAUCUUUGAGAGUUCCUUCUGCGAGACAAGCAAACAAGGAAGUAAGCAAAAUGCAUAAGCUGCUAACCCUCCUGCUGGUGGCGGUGGUGGUGGUGGCGACGCUCCCUCAGGCAGGAGCCAUCAGGUGCUACACGUGUCAGGGCUACCUCUCCUCUGCCAACCAGAAUAUCCUUACAAACAACAAGAACUGCCCUGCUGACAACUUCGACAGUAAUAAAGUCCAAACAGCCACUGGACAGGUGUGCAUGACGAUGGUUCAGGAAAUUGAUGGCGUCGAGAUCACAUCUCGCUCACCCGCCGACAUCAUGAAGAAGGACGCCAAGAAGACAAACUACAUCAAUUUCAGAGGCUACUUCUGCAACACUGACUACUGCAAUAGCAGGAGCCCGGGCAACGCAGCACCCGCCACCCACGCCCUCUGCCUGCCGCUCCUCCUCCUCUCCCUGCUGGCGGCAUUCCACCGACGCCUGGCUUGAGGGCCCUGACACAAUCACAAACACAGACACACACACACACACACACACACACACACACACACACACACACACACACACACACACACACUUUCCUUAGUGUCUCUUUGUAAGUUAAUCUGAACACUAAUACAUAAAUAAAUAAAAAUACAUGGUUUCUCUGAAGCUUGACAUGAUGUCUGCUCCAGUGGAAUGCACGCGAUGCUGUAGUGACGCGGAGUACUGCUGUUGUAUUACGUAUGUGUCAGCUGCAGGGCUAUGGACAUGAAAAGACAAGGGAAGCUGCAGGAAGCCAUCAUGCCUACACGUGGCAGUCCCUGUAUAAAACAUGCCUACCUAUUUCCACCUCACAUCCCUCAUCCAUUCACUUACCACUCUAUUGGGCAGCCACUUUCCUCGUAUCCUUCCUGGUAAACUCUUAUGUACGUGUCCAGGUGACAUGCAGGAAAGCUUGUCAUCCUAAGUGGGCAGUCUGGGUCUUUCCUCUCACUGGCGACGGGAAAUCUGACUCAGCUGCUGAUAUGUUCGGUGGCCGCCUAACGGGUCGCGACACUCCUGUGGCUCCCGGAGUGACAUGAGAGCCAAGAGAACCGCGAUGUCAUUAAUUGGAGGUGAUUGGAUCUUGUUCUCGCUGCUGUUGUUAUUAUUAAUAUUACUGCAUGUAUCCAGA